GCCUGUUUCUCCUUAUAUAAAAUGGAAAUGAUACUAUUUAUCUCUCCUAGGUUUGUUGUGAAGAAAGGAUUAAAUGGCAUGGCAAUGCUGGUGUUAAGCACAAUGCCUGACGCGUAUUAUAACGAGCUGGUUGUCAUAAGGUCCAAAACCUUAACCACCGCCAGCGUCCCUACCGGCCCUGCUUCCGGGAGUCCCUUCACUUCCCUCAGCCGAUCGCAGAUCCCUCCGCGGUCCCGUCACUUCCGGGAGGAUCCAGCUUCGGCUCCUCGAACACCCGGAUGCAAUUAUCAUGGCUGCCGUCAGUGAGGGACAGCAAUGGAGUCAAGAAUUGCCCGGAAAUUCCCGAGUUUAGGGUUUCAAGGAGGCCUGUCCAAAGGAUAAAAGAUGAGCUUGCUGGGCGGCAAGGUGCCCCAAACCGUCCUAGGAAUUGGACUUCCGCGCUUCUUGUCAACUUGCCGCCAAGUUUUUCUAGAGGAAUCGCUUCUCUUGGAAGGAUGGAGAAACUGAGGCAAAGGGGGAUUAAGUUUCUUUCUCAUGGUCCCAAAACUAGAGCCACGUUCUAUAGCCUUUCCUUCCAUAUAACUGAAGAUUUUAGUAGAAGAAGCAUGAGAAUGGAACUCAGACCUGGACUCUAGUCCUACGGCCCUGCUUUGUGAAUUAGAGCAAGUCAUUUAACCUCUCUGAAUUUCAUUUUCCUCUCCCGUGAGAAAUGAACACUUUUAACUAUUAUAUUUUAUUGAUUUUUGAAUCAUCAAGAAUCUUUAAAAAGUUGCCUUCACCAUUGUUUUCCCAUUUUCUUCUGGCCCCCUGGCACUCAUUCUAUAAAUUUUGAUGCACAUAUGGAGGCAGUGACAACCCCAUCUCUGUUGCUGCCUGGUAUGACCACACUGUAAGAUGUGGCUGAUUUCAGAGAUGUCAAAAUGUAAAAUAAUGUGCAUCUUGGAAUUGAUGACAUGUAGUAGGUGAUCUCUAAGUUCCUUUUCAUCCUUGACUGUGUGACAUCUGUGACUUUAUAACAUUUUAUGGUUGGUUUAUGUAUUUUUUAAUGUAAAUGAUUCAAAAUAAAACAUAAGCUUUUUGGUAAUAGAAAAGUAGGAA
Pteropus alecto (black flying fox) is the source of this 1098-nucleotide long non-coding RNA. RefSeq lists it as uncharacterized. Lineage: Eukaryota; Metazoa; Chordata; Mammalia; Chiroptera; Pteropodidae. The record is from RefSeq and is a predicted model, not a curated record. The transcript is spliced from 2 exons.